Long non-coding RNA from Pecten maximus, 314 nucleotides. RefSeq lists it as uncharacterized. The transcript is spliced from 3 exons. The record is from RefSeq and is a predicted model, not a curated record. Lineage: Eukaryota; Metazoa; Mollusca; Bivalvia; Pectinida; Pectinidae.
GUCUGGAAAAUUAUUCGUGGGGACGUGACCACUGACAUUGCCAUAGACAACGAGAAAUAUAGAGGAUCAGUCAUAAGUGAUCCAUCUCUCCAUAUAACUGAGGUGUCUGAUGGAGACGAGGGCAUGUACCUGUGUACAGCAGUCAAUGGAGUGGGGACUGGCAGUAGUCCUUUAUGUCACCUCAAGGUCACCACCAAUCCUGACCUGGUACUAACUGCUAAAGAGAGGAUUAGAGCCAAGAAGAUCAAGUUGGAAUCACCUGACGACAAGAUGAUAAAGUGUUUAGCUGAUGUGGUAAAGGGUGACCAAUCAAA